RNAcentral lists this transfer-messenger RNA (356 nucleotides) under Dehalococcoidia. RNAcentral describes it as "JAJYLG01 sp021787985 X1 Standard tmRNA". It matches the Rfam family "transfer-messenger RNA". From Rfam's summary of the family: Bacterial tmRNA, also known as 10Sa RNA or SsrA, is named for its dual tRNA and mRNA-like properties. Its role is to liberate the mRNA from a stalled ribosome. RNAcentral also lists the same sequence under 2 other names. Lineage: Bacteria; Bacillati; Chloroflexota. The record is from RNAcentral.
GGGGACGACAGGGCUCGACAGGAGACGACGUACCAGGAUUGCGUGCCGAGGUCCCGGCGGCCUCGUAAAACAGCCGGGAAACAAUAACUGCCGACGAGCAGUACGCUCUCGCGGCCUAAGCGGCCGCGACGCUCCGCACCGCCUCCCCCUGACGGGCGGGGUGUGAGCGCCACCUAGUCGGGGUGCGGCCCCAACGACGCCGCUAGGCGGGGCCAAAGAGCCCAGCGGCUGGCCCAAAGGGAAGCUUGGCAGCGGGCGUCCCGCGGGCGAGACCCUCAAAACACUGCCUACGCACGUAGGAGAUUCUGGGCGGACUCUCACUGGACGGGGAGUUCGAUUCUCCCCCGUCUCCACCC